AGCUAUAASUUACUSAUUCUAWAGKWUAACCUGCCCAAUGUAAAAUAAUAUGAWUGGCCGCGGUACUGUGACCGUGCUAAGGUAGCGUAAUCAGUUGGCUUUUAAAUGGAGUCAGGAAUGAAUGGGAUAACCGGGCUUAGCUGUCUCUUUCUUAAUUAAUUGAAUUUACUUUGUAASYSAGAAAGCUUACUUUUUGAAGAGGGAGGAGAAGACCCUUAGAAUUUUACUUAAAUUGUUUAAUCAUACUGGUUUUGUUGGGGUGACAAAGAAAUAUAUUAUAACUUUCUUUAAAAUACUUGCCGAUUAUAUUAAGUAAGAAUAAAUUACCUGAGGGAUAACAGCAUAAUUCUACAUUUGAGUUUGUGACCUCGAUGUUGGACUAGGAAACUAGUAAGCUAGCCGUUUACUUUGUUGGUUCKSUUSYAACUSKAAUUCCU
RNAcentral lists this ribosomal RNA (437 nucleotides) under Doto fragilis. RNAcentral describes it as "partial 16S ribosomal RNA". It matches the Rfam family "Archaeal large subunit ribosomal RNA", at positions 1923 to 2667 of the family's 2987-position model. Lineage: Eukaryota; Metazoa; Mollusca; Gastropoda; Nudibranchia; Dotidae. The record is from RNAcentral.